Molecule: ribosomal RNA, 551 nt
Filed under: uncultured Glomeromycotina
Lineage: Eukaryota; Fungi; Glomeromycota
Description: SSU rRNA
Rfam family: Eukaryotic small subunit ribosomal RNA
Source: RNAcentral
UUGGAGGGCAAGUCUGGUGCCAGCAGCCGCGGUAAUUCCAGCUCCAAUAGCGUAUAUUAAAGUUGUUGCAGUUAAAAAGCUCGUAGUUGAAUUUCGGGAUCAAUACGUCGGUCGUGCUUUUUUGGUACGCACUGGCGUCAUUGGUUUCUCCUUUCUGACGAACCAUGAUGUCAUUAAUUUGGUGUUAUGGGGAGUUAGGACUGUUACUUUGAAAAAAUUAGAGUGUUUAAAGCAGGCAUUAGCUUGAAUACAUUAGCAUGGAAUAAUGAAAUAGGACGUUCGAUCCUAUUUUGUUGGUUUCUAGGAUCAACGUAAUGAUUAAUAGGGAUAGUUGGGGGCAUUAGUAUUCAAUUGUCAGAGGUGAAAUUCUUGGAUUUAUUGAAGACUAACUACUGCGAAAGCAUUUGCCAAGGAUGUUUUCAUUAAUCAAGAACGAAAGUUAGGGGAUCGAAGACGAUCAGAUACCGUCGUAGUCUUAACCAUAAACUAUGCCGACUAGGGAUCGGAGGAUGUUAAUUUUUUAAUGACUCAUUCGGCGCCUUACGGGAAAC